RNAcentral lists this long non-coding RNA (1447 nucleotides) under Anser brachyrhynchus (Pink-footed goose). Its description in RNAcentral is "lncRNA (ENSABRG00000011746.1)". Lineage: Eukaryota; Metazoa; Chordata; Aves; Anseriformes; Anatidae. The record is from RNAcentral.
GGCCAACAGAAAUAAAUUGGCUACAAACACAGCAGCAGUCUAUGUAGAAAGAUAUCCCGAAAAUGUUUAUGGAUUAUUUUCCCUCACGUACAAUGUAUUGAUUAUUUUCACAACAAGCAGCUGUCAGUAGAGACUUAGAUACAGAAAACGUGACGAGAUGACAUACGAAGACGAAUCAACAGACAAACCAACAGAGGAGGGGUAGGUGAAAGUUCCCUCCUGUACACUGAUAUUCAGCAUUCUUUUGGGUUGUUUCCUUGAUAGCUCCACACCCAGUGAGUAAAUACCCAGUGAGCAGGGACAAGCCACUAGAGCCCAGGAAAGCUCUCUUUGUGUUCCUAACCAGGCAUAUUCAAAGGUAUGCCCGUAAUCUGUUGCAAAAAGUGCUGACUGCACCUAAUCGGUGUUAAUUUGCUGUGCUCUGAGUUGUACUGGCUAAUAGCCGUUAGCAGGAGCCGAGGAAUUUUGCCCUUUAUAGGUGGGGCUCAGAGCCUUGUCGAUUCAAGUCUAGCAGGAGAACAGAGUGCAUUGCUAUAAUUAUUAGUAAUUCUUAUCCCUGGGGAAAGGAAUCUGUAGCUCUCCUCUUCUGUGUCAUGAGGAAUACUUUGGCUAGAAUUUUACUGCUUCCUGCUAAUAUGUGUUGGCAUCUCCCUGAACAUGUUGCCAGAUUAAGAUAUUGGAGAGAAAAAUAUCAGAAGAGUGGGAAAAGAGAGCCAAAACGCAAGAGAAAGAAGUUUCAGUGUGUGUGAUUUGAAAUGGGCUGAGAACUAGCGAAGCAAAGUACCACCAGGAAAAUUGCUGCAGUCAACACUGCUGGGAAGAGCUGUGGUGGGAGCAGUGCUGGUUCUGACAGACAACUGCAGAAACGUCGAGGCUCUGUUGCUCUGCAACACAUCUGGGACACUUAAACCCGUUUUUAAUGACAUGAACGCAAAAGGACAGAAAACGAGGCUCACUAGUCAGUUUUAGUAUAGUAUGGUAAAUGGUUGCAGGGCCUGAUCCAGUGAUGGGGAGAGCAUUCUCCAAUAUCAUCCAGUAAAAGCAGACAAGAAAAGCAAACUUUUUCCAGGCAAACUCCCACAGAUCAUGCACUACAUAUCCAAAUACUUUGAAGGAAAGAGUGCCAGCUAAGAUUUAAGGUAAGCAGUAGCAUGAUUAUGAGCUUCUCUCACUGAUCAGAACUGUUAUCUCAACUAUGUGUAAAAAUAAUUUUGUCUAGAACUGCCACCAUGCAUCUCUUAAGGAGAUAGCCUUUGGGGGGAUAAAUUCUGGUUUUGCCCUUCAAGCUUUCUAUUUCCUGCUGUAGUGUCUCUCGUGGGAGCAAAGGGACAGUACCUAUGAAAAGUCUGUUGUGGAGAAUUCACUACAGUUUGGCAUCUGCUGUCACUGAUCAGGUUAGCAUCACUGUUCUGCAGUCUUAUCACGGGAUGAACAAGCAGACCUCCAG